GGUAACGGCUCACCAUGGCAAUGAUACGUAGCCGACCUGAGAGGGUAAUCGGCCACAUUGGGACUGAGACACGGCCCAAACUCCUACGGGAGGCAGCAGUAGGGAAUCUUCCACAAUGGACGAAAGUCUGAUGGAGCAACGCCGCGUGAGUGAAGAAGGGUUUCGGCUCGUAAAACUCUGUUGUUAAAGAAGAACAUAUCUGAGAGUAACUGUUCAGGUAUUGACGGUAUUUAACCAGAAAGCCACGGCUAACUACGUGCCAGCAGCCGCGGUAAUACGUAGGUGGCAAGCGUUGUCCGGAUUUAUUGGGCGUAAAGCGAGCGCAGGCGGUUUUUUAAGUCUGAUGUGAAAGCCUUCGGCUCAACCGAAGAAGUGCAUCGGAAACUGGGAAACUUGAGUGCAGAAGAGGACAGUGGAACUCCAUGUGUAGCGGUGAAAUGCGUAGAUAUAUGGAAGAACACCAGUGGCGAAGGCGGCUGUCUGGUCUGUAACUGACGCUGAGGCUCGAAAGUAUGGGUAGCAAACAGGAUUAGAUACCCUGGUAGUCCAUACCGUAAACGAUGAAUGCUAAGUGUUGGAGGGUUUCCGCCCUUCAGUGCUGCAGCUAACGCAUUAAGCAUUCCGCCUGGGGAGUACGGCCGCAAGGCUGAAACUCAAAGGAAUUGACGGGGGCCCGCACAAGCGGUGGAGCAUGUGGUUUAAUUCGAAGCUACGCGAAGAACCUUACCAGGUCUUGACAUACUAUGUAAAUCUAAGAGAUUAGACGUUCCCUUCGGGGACAUGGAUACAGGUGGUGCAUGGUUGUCGUCAGCUCGUGUCGUGAGAUGUUGGGUUAAGUCCCGCAACGAGCGCAACCCUUAUUAUCAGUUGCCAGCAUUAAGUUGGGCACUCUGGUGAGACUGCCGGUGACAAACCGGAGGAAGGUGGGGAUGACGUCAAAUCAUCAUGCCCCUUAUGACCUGGGCUACACACGUGCUACAAUGGAUGGUACAACGAGUUGCGAACUCGCGAGAGUAAGCUAAUCUCUUAAAGCCAUUCUCAGUUCGGAUUGUAGGCUGCAACUCGCCUACAUGAAGUCGGAAUCGCUAGUAAUCGCGGAUCAGCAUGCCGCGGUGAAUACGUUCCCGGGCCUUGUACACACCGCCCGUCACACCAUGAGAGUUUGUAACACCCAAAGUCGGUGGGGUAACCUUUUAGGAACCAGCCGCCUAAGGUGGGACAGAUGAUUAGGG
This 1232-nucleotide ribosomal RNA is filed under the name Lactiplantibacillus plantarum. RNAcentral describes it as "bacterial SSU rRNA". It matches the Rfam family "Bacterial small subunit ribosomal RNA", at positions 256 to 1480 of the family's 1533-position model. Lineage: Bacteria; Bacillati; Bacillota; Bacilli; Lactobacillales; Lactobacillaceae. The record is from RNAcentral.